AGUGAACGCUGGCGGUAGGCCUAACACAUGCAAGUCGAACGGCAGCACAGUAAGAGCUUGCUCUUACGGGUGGCGAGUGGCGGACGGGUGAGGAAUACAUCGGAAUCUACUUUUUCGUGGGGGAUAACGUAGGGAAACUUACGCUAAUACCGCAUACGACCUACGGGUGAAAGCAGGGGAUCUUCGGACCUUGCGCGAUUGAAUGAGCCGAUGUCGGAUUAGCUAGUUGGCGGGGUAAAGGCCCACCAAGGCGACGAUCCGUAGCUGGUCUGAGAGGAUGAUCAGCCACACUGGAACUGAGACACGGUCCAGACUCCUACGGGAGGCAGCAGUGGGGAAUAUUGGACAAUGGGCACAAGCCUGAUCCAGCUAUACCGCGUGGGUGAAGAAGGCCUUCGGGUUGUAAAGCCCUUUUGUUGGGAAAGAAAAGCAGCAGGUUAAUACCCCGCUGUUCUGACGGUACCCAAAGAAUAAGCACCGGCUAACUUCGUG
RNAcentral lists this ribosomal RNA (492 nucleotides) under uncultured bacterium. RNAcentral describes it as "partial 16S ribosomal RNA". It matches the Rfam family "Bacterial small subunit ribosomal RNA", at positions 29 to 507 of the family's 1533-position model. The record is from RNAcentral.